UACCAUGUCUAGGGAUUUUCCCCGAAUCUAGGGAUUUUUUGAAGCUUUUUCAGCUCUGGAAGGAUUUUUUUUGAAAUCUAGGGAUUUAUUAAACUGUGCUGGCGCCAUUUUUUGUUGUUAUUAAAUAUCUUUUUGUUCAAAUAUUAUUAUUAUUGUCAUUAUUUAUUGUUUCCUGACAUAAAUAUUCCUAAGUAAACAUUAAAACAUUACCUAAUCAAUGAUUAAAGUGGAUUAAACAUAGUGUUUAAUAGGUUAUAAAUUCAAUUGACAGCUGUCAUCUGUCAAUUUCUUCUUUUUUAGGUCAAAUUAAUACGAUUUAGGGAUUUCUAGGGGAAAUUGAAGUUCCCGUCUAGGGAUAUUCUGAAAUUUCAUCUGGCAACCCUGACUUCGCUUGGUUAGCUAGAACGGAACGGCAGAUGGUUGAUCGAAAAUUACGGGAAUUUUAAUACGGAGUUUCAAGCUCCUAUAAGUAUUUAGUGGAAAAAUUAAUAAUGUUGUUGUUUGGAAGAGCUAGGAGACAAAGUGUGGAAGAUCCCGUAGAAAUUGAAGUCACACCAUCUGCCGUUUGGGUGAAAUUAUAAAGUAACCAGUCCAUCAGCUCCCCUAACAACCGGGAGCAACCGUUCUAGGCCAAGCCAGGUCACUUGGAGACCAGCCUGGAGAAUCUCCUCCCACGUAGCGUUGAAUUCUGCACUUCGCCCCCGAAGGGCACCUUGAAUAAUUGGUACAAGCUAGCACCAUCCCUGUGCUAAUUCUACUACCAGGGAUUUUGGUAUCCAUAACAAGGACACUUAUGGGAACCAUAAUAUAGGGUUUGUUUUGGGGACACUUGGUACUUAUUUGCAAGUGAUUAUUACUCUACCAUCACAACACGUUAAUAUUUUUGUGUAAUAAUCAGGACAUUUAGUUCAAACUAAGUUUUAUAUUUUAAUCACACAUAUUUUUGUUUCAAGAUUUAGGUUGCAUUUUUUUUCAUAUUAAUUUUUGAUAGUGUUUCCCAAACCAGUAAACUCUCUGGUCAAGGAGGUUUGAGCUCAGAUCAUCUUUUCCCUCAUAUGAGAUUCUCUUUACCUUUGUAUUAUAUUACCUGAAAUUUACUUGUACCAUUUAUUUAUUUAAUUAACUUUAUAUUUUUUGUUACUAACCUUGCUAGUCUCCACUUAUCAAUUUAAAUUUAUAUAUUUUUACUCUUUAUUGCUAAUUUAUUAACUUAUAUAACUUUAACGUACUUUAGCCAAUCAUUCUAAUUAAUUAAACUUAUUUGCUUAACUUUUUACUUAAAUUCAUUUAUUUAACUUUUAAUUAUAUCCCUGGACGCUAUUCCCUUUGAAUAGCUAUCCAUUUUACUUGUGAUAAAUUUUUAGUGACUACGCGUCGAAGCAACUGAUUUUUAUAUAUCAAGUAGACCGUAGAUUCACAUUAAGGAGGCUGGUGCCUAUUUAACUCUUUGAGAUUUUAUAUUAUUGUUCAUUCGUUUGUAGUUUAGCGUUGCUGUACGUAUUUUAAUCGUACAAUUAUUUGGUGAAGGUUGUUAUUUAACCUAGUAUAUGUAAGUUGGGGGUAUGCUUCCUAGAAAAGCUACUCCAAUACUAAUUUAAUAGGUAAUUAUAUUUAUACUUAGAUAGGUAAUUAUUUCCCAUUGUCAUUUUAUAGUUACAUAAUUUGUAUUUUUCUAACUCAGAGGUUGUCAAAAAUCUAAGUAGUUAUAUUUAAUAAAUAUUUAUUUGUUUUGUA
Long non-coding RNA from Diabrotica virgifera virgifera (western corn rootworm), 1734 nucleotides. RefSeq lists it as uncharacterized. The record is from RefSeq and is a predicted model, not a curated record. The transcript has 2 exons. Lineage: Eukaryota; Metazoa; Arthropoda; Insecta; Coleoptera; Chrysomelidae.